AUGUAUAUUCCAGAUAUCUGUAGUAUUAUUAGAAUCAUGAGAUUAAAACACAUUUACCUCUCCUCCACUUCUUUGAAGUGUCUCGCAGUCCCAGCGCACUGGCUAGCAUGUUUUGGUUCGUGCAACUGGUCCGUCGGUUUAUUGUCUCCCCAGGAACAUUUCCGUUGUGUCGUUUCCUGUUUCCGUUGUGUCUUUUCCUAUUUCCGUUGUGUCUUUUCCUAUUUGCGUUGUGCUUUGUGUGCUUUUGCAGCGUUUUUCUUUUUGCAGCAUUUUUUCUUUUUGCAGCGCUUUUCUUUUUGCAGGUGUUUUUCUUUUUGCAGCGCUUUUCUUUUUGCAGCGUUUUUCUUUUUGCAGCAUUUUUCUUUUUGCAGGUGUUUUCUGAAGUUGCAGUGCAGCGUUUUUCUUGAAGUUGCAGUGCAGCGUUUUUCUUUUUGCAGCGUUUUCCUUUUUGCAGCAUUUUUCUUUUUGCAAGUGUUUUCUGAAGUUGCAGUCCGUUUGGCCUCUCAGGGCCACUGUACCAUGGGGAAUGAAGGUGUUUAUGACAGGAAAAUUCUGCGCAACUGGAGGAAUUUUCUGAGGAUGAGAGGGCAUGAAGACACCAUGGAGUGGCAGUUACAGACUAUGCAACACAACAAGCAACAGGAUUCUAGCAGUUGCGGAGUUUUGCUGUUAAAGUUUGCAGAACAGUACCUUGCUUUUGGAGAGGUCAGUGAGGUGUUAACCACUACAGAAGCAGUUGUGCUGGAGCGAAUGCAGAUAGCUUGCACCCUACUUGAACAUCGAGGAAACACUGAGGAUUACUGCAUUGUUUGCUCUAUGUUAGAUGCUGACGCUGACCGCAGCAUGAUUGAAAUGGUGCAGUGUGAAUCUUGCCAAAGAUGGGCACAUUUUGCAUGUGCAAAAUAUAAAGACAGCAACCAAGAAUAUAAAUGCAAAAAAUGUAAGGAAAACACAUUACAACUUCUAAUAAAAACAGCUGUCUUUUCCCCUCCAUGUCUCUUUGCAUUCUUUGUCAACAUUAGAUGAUUGUGUGCUGGAGGCACGUUUUGAUAGUGUGAUUUGGCCAUCUAAACAUCCUACCUAAAGAAAUCCAAGCAGGAAGCAAGUUUUGAUAGAGUGAUUUGGCCAUCUAAACAUCCUACCUAAAUGUUAGGUCUAAACUCAGACCCCGCUGUAUCCAGGACUUAUUCCCAUGAAAGAAAAACAAGGCAACAGUGUUCGAUCGAUUACUUGCGCAAGGGAGGCCUCCUCUGUGUCCAGCACGAAAAUGACCCCGAUGAGGGCCUCCUCUCGCUGGCUUUUAUUGACAAACUUCAAACAAUAGUUUACAAAACACCUCCCCUCGCAACCCCCUUUGGUUACAAAGACAAGGCACUGUAUGUAAAUGUAUAUACAAGAAUGUGGGUGUGUGUGUGUGUGUGUGUGUGUUCUCCUGCUGAUCAAAAGGGUCAUAAAACAUAAAAGCAGGAGAAACAUCCUUGGUCCUAAAGAGGGUAGUCUCCCCCACACCCA
RNAcentral lists this long non-coding RNA (1512 nucleotides) under Oreochromis niloticus (Nile tilapia). RNAcentral describes it as "lncRNA (ENSONIG00000038987.1)". Lineage: Eukaryota; Metazoa; Chordata; Actinopteri; Cichliformes; Cichlidae. The record is from RNAcentral.